UGGAGAUAUGGCCUUUAAACUGGUGAAUAAGUUAAAAUUAAGCCACUAGGGUGGGUCCUAAUCCAAUGUGACUGGCGUCCCUGUAGAUGAUAUUUGAACACGUAAAGCUACACCAGGAUGUACAUGCGCAGGGGACGACCACGUGAGGACAUGGUGAGCAGGUGGCCAUCUGCAAGUCAAGGAGAGAGUCCUCAGAAUGAAACUGUGGACAGCAAUUCCGUGACCUUGAGCUUCCAGUCUCCAGGCUGAGAAAAUGAAUUUGUGUCGUUGAAACCACUCAGUCCAUGGUAUUUGGUUAUGGCAGGCCCAGGAAACUCAUGCAUCUCCCAUCUCAAGACCAAGUGUUAAAAGCAGCCUCGUAUCCCAAUGUGUGUGUGAGACCUACAGACUACAUCUUUCCAUUGUGUUUACACUUCCAGGAGAAGCAGGGGCUGUACAGAAAAGCGGAGACAAGAUGGAGGUGAAUGAGGAUCGAAGCCCUUAGCGUAUGGACACCCAGGAAGCCAGCAUGGGCUCCGGAAUUAGAGCAAGUCUCCAAUCAUCUCUUAACACCCUCUUGAAAUAAUCAACUCAGAUAAUCGGACACCCCAAAGAUUCGAGCAGAUAGGACCCUGGCGAGUCCUGCUUCUUUCCAUGUUCUUACAAGGAGCAAGGAAGCUUUCAAAGACUUUCGAAGUCAUAUCGCGUGAACCCGUGAACUAAUUCAAGAUUUCCGCCAGCAAAGGAUGAGGCCAUUUAAGCAUAAACAAAUAACUGUAUGUCCAAGUUAUCCUAACCCUUAAAUCCAAUGACAAGUUCUUGGAAGAGAAGAGAGAGAGAAACAGACACGGAGAGAAAGGCCUUAUGAAGAUGGAGAUAGAUAGAUGAAGAUGAAGUCCCAGCCAAGAAACACCAAGCUUAGCCAGCCGCCAUCAGAAGCUAGGAGAGAGGCAUGGAACAGAUUCUCCCUCAAAUCCUCAAGAGGAACCAACCCUGUCAACUCCUUAAUUUUAGAUUUCUGGCCUCCAGAACUGUGAGGCAAUACAUUUCUGUUGUUUGAAGCCACUCAGUUUGUGGUAAUUUUUUUAAUAGCACCCUAGGGAACAAAUACACUAGACAUUUUAAAAAAGGGUAAAUAAAGGGGGAGAAUCAUGCAUUUACCUUCCCUUUCUUGUGUGAACUAUAUGUCAAGGUAAUCGAAUAGUUGGUGAGCAAAAAGUCUUCUUUUGUAGAAGAAUUCCAGCUAAUAAAUACAGAAGUUCUAGAAUUAGAGUAUCACUAUAAUCUCUAAUGAAAUAAAUGGAUCUUCUAGGCAAUACUCAUCAAAGACUGCUACGUCCAUUAGGUAGAAGGCUGAUGGGGAGCUGUAUGAUGGCUGGGUCAGGCUGACAAAGCAUGGACCCACUGAUCACUCUCAACAUCCCACACACACAAAAAGACAAUCAGACAUCUUAUAUCUCGAUGCCAUAAGAAGUGUGUAACAUCAUCUAUGAAGUAUUCUGGCUAAAAAGUUGAAUCUGGAUCUAAUUAGGUCUCUAAAUCUCAAUACCGGUUUGCAGAAAAUAAAAAGUAAAAAGAAACAUGCCAAAUGGUACCAGAGGAUUGUAAAUCAGUUAUAUUCAGAAUAUGGAAACUACUACAAGACGAUGACCUAGUUUCUUCAACAACAAAAGACAAGAAAAGAGAGAAGAGGUGAAUGGUUAUAGAUUGAAAGACACAUAAAAGACGUAUCAACCAAAUACAAGCUGUGGCACUUUUUGAGAUCCUGAGUUGAACGAUCCUACCAUAAAAAGACACUCAAGGGUACAGUUAGGGAAAUUAAACCAUUCGACUGGAUAUUAGAUGAUAAUAAGGAAUUAUUUAGUUUUCUUUUAGGUGCGAUGAUUGGUAUUGUGGUUACGUUUCUUUUCAAGUCUGUAUCUCUUAGGCGUAUAUAAGUUUUUACAGAUAAAAUGGUAUAAAGUCUAAGAUGCUAUUUAAAAUAAUCCAGAGAUUUGCAGCAAAGGGAUAGGGUCGA
Long non-coding RNA from Pteropus alecto (black flying fox), 1996 nucleotides. RefSeq lists it as uncharacterized. The transcript has 5 exons. The record is from RefSeq and is a predicted model, not a curated record. NCBI's taxonomy places the organism in Eukaryota, Metazoa, Chordata, Mammalia, Chiroptera, Pteropodidae.